Molecule: ribosomal RNA, 446 nt
Filed under: uncultured bacterium
Lineage: Bacteria
Description: SSU rRNA
Rfam family: Bacterial small subunit ribosomal RNA
Source: RNAcentral
AGAGCGAACGCUGGCGGCAGGCCUAACACAUGCAAGUCGAGCGCUCGUAGCAAUACGAGAGCGGCAGACGGGAGAGUAACACGUGGGAACGUACCCUUCAGUUCGGAACAACCAAGGGAAACUUUGGCUAAUACCGGAUACGUCCGUAAGGAGAAAGAUUUAUCGCUGAAGGAUCGGCCCGCGUCUGAUUAGCUAGUUGGUGAGGUAAUGGCUCACCAAGGCGACGAUCAGUAGCUGGUCUGAGAGGAUGAUCAGCCUCACUGGGACUGAGACACGGCCCAGACUCCUACGGGAGGCAGCAGUGGGGAAUAUUGGACAAUGGGCGCAAGCCUGAUCCAGCCAUGCCGCGUGGGUGAUGAAGGCCCUAGGGUUGUAAAGCCCUUUCGGCGGGAAGAUAAUGACGGUACCCGCAGAAGAAGCCCGGCUAACUUCGUGCCAGCAGCCGC